RNAcentral lists this ribosomal RNA (810 nucleotides) under uncultured bacterium. RNAcentral's name for it is "bacterial SSU rRNA". It matches the Rfam family "Bacterial small subunit ribosomal RNA", at positions 8 to 796 of the family's 1533-position model. The record is from RNAcentral.
AGAGUUUGAUCAUGGCUCAGAACGAACGCUGGCGGCGUGGAUAAGACAUGCAAGUCGAGCGAGAUUUUUUCCUGUAGCAAUAUAGGUAAAAGUCUAGCGGCGAACGGGUGCUUAACACGUGGGCAAUCUGCCGAGAAGUGGGGGAUAGCUCGCCGAAAGGCGAAUUAAUACCGCAUGUGAUUAGAGAGGACAUCCUUUCGAAAUUAAAGUCGGGGCAACCUGACGCUUUUUGUGGAGCCCGCGGCCUAUCAGCUAGUUGGUGAGGUAACGGCCCACCAAGGCUUUGACGGGUAGCUGGUCUGAGAGGACGACCAGCCACACUGGGACUGAGACACGGCCCAGACACCUACGGGUGGCAGCAGUCGAGAAUUUUUCUCAAUGGGGGAAACCCUGAAGGAGCGACGCCGCGUGGAGGAUGAAGGUCUUCGGAUUGUAAACUUCUGUCAUUGGGGAACAAGGUGCAUACGUUAACUGCGUGUGCAUUGAUAGUACCCGAAGAGGAAGAGACGGCUAACUCUGUGCCAGCAGCCGCGGUAAUACAGAGGUCUCAAGCGUUGUUCGGAUUCAUUGGGCGUAAAGGGUGCGUAGGCGGCGCGGUAAGUCGGGUGUGAAAUCUCGGAGCUUAACUCCGAAACUGCAUUCGAUACUGCCGUGCUUGAGGACUGGAGAGGAGACUGGAAUUUACGGUGUAGCGGUGAAAUGCGUAGAUAUCGUAAGGAAGACCAGUGGCGAAGGCGGGUCUCUGGACAGUUUCUGACGCUGAGGCACGAAGGCCAGGGGAGCAAACGGGAUUAGAUACCCCAGUAGUCC